CAGAGGAAAGGAGAGAGAGACCAGCAAGAAACAGAGUACCCGAUUCUCCUCAUCUCUCCGCCGCCAACCACCGCAUCGUCUCCCUCCUCCGACCCACCUUGCCGCCGGCCGUCCCCCUCCCUCUCCUCCCACCUCGCGGCUUCGGAGUCCGCUGGAUCUGCCGCAUCACCCACCCACCCAUCCCUCUCGUGUCCCAUAUCUCUCUUCACGCAGCUCGUCGCUGCACACCUGCGCCGGCUACUCAGGCGACGGCCAGUGAAUCCUGCCACCGCGAAGCACAGCCCAAGGUCCCCUCGCAACGCGGCGCCCUCCGGUACAGAUAGAGGCGGCGCUGGCGACCACGAAAGCCCACACGGGACCCGGUGUCUAUGUCGUCCUCCUCUCGUCCGUUGUUCUGCAGGUAUCUAGAGUUGCGUUCAAGUUGCUGAGAAUCAGAGGUUUUUCCGCUUGGAUGAUGGUCUUGGGAUCACAAGUGCAGUAUGUUUGGGCUAGUGCCUAAAUAGGAGCCAUUGUUGUUCUGCUGGUGUUAGGAUUUGCCUAAAUAGGAGCCAUGGAGCAAGUCUGAGUUCGUAGAUCAAGUCAUGGACGAUGCCAUCAAAGAUUCAAAAGAUAUAUGGAUGAUUAUAUGGGUGCGUGGCAAGUAUACUGCAGUAAUGAUGAUGAUGUUCCAGUUCAUGAUGCUGAUGAUGGAUGCUUCCAGUUUUAGUUAAGUUGUAGGGAUAUUGUUCCUGUUGGAUGAUGUUCCUCGGUCAACUUUUAGUGAUGUUGAUGUAUGCUUUCAGUUUAAGUUUCGAUGUUAAGAAAAUAUUUAGAUUCUGCAUCACAUUUGGAUGAUGUUCCUCUUGUAAUAUCCACUAUUGUAAUCCAACAAUUUUAUCCAAUAUAUGAUUUGUUCC
Triticum urartu is the source of this 896-nucleotide long non-coding RNA. RefSeq lists it as uncharacterized. Lineage: Eukaryota; Viridiplantae; Streptophyta; Magnoliopsida; Poales; Poaceae. The record is from RefSeq and is a predicted model, not a curated record.